This 751-nucleotide ribosomal RNA is filed under the name Bacillus cereus. RNAcentral's name for it is "bacterial SSU rRNA". It matches the Rfam family "Bacterial small subunit ribosomal RNA", at positions 35 to 768 of the family's 1533-position model. Lineage: Bacteria; Bacillati; Bacillota; Bacilli; Caryophanales; Bacillaceae. The record is from RNAcentral.
GAGUGCGGCGUCUAAUACAUGCAAGUCGAGCGAAUGGAUUAAGAGCUUGCUCUUAUGAAGUUAGCGGCGGACGGGUGAGUAACACGUGGGUAACCUGCCCAUAAGACUGGGAUAACUCCGGGAAACCGGGGCUAAUACCGGAUAACAUUUUGAACCGCAUGGUUCGAAAUUGAAAGGCGGCUUCGGCUGUCACUUAUGGAUGGACCCGCGUCGCAUUAGCUAGUUGGUGAGGUAACGGCUCACCAAGGCAACGAUGCGUAGCCGACCUGAGAGGGUGAUCGGCCACACUGGGACUGAGACACGGCCCAGACUCCUACGGGAGGCAGCAGUAGGGAAUCUUCCGCAAUGGACGAAAGUCUGACGGAGCAACGCCGCGUGAGUGAUGAAGGCUUUCGGGUCGUAAAACUCUGUUGUUAGGGAAGAACAAGUGCUAGUUGAAUAAGCUGGCACCUUGACGGUACCUAACCAGAAAGCCACGGCUAACUACGUGCCAGCAGCCGCGGUAAUACGUAGGUGGCAAGCGUUAUCCGGAAUUAUUGGGCGUAAAGCGCGCGCAGGUGGUUUCUUAAGUCUGAUGUGAAAGCCCACGGCUCAACCGUGGAGGGUCAUUGGAAACUGGGAGACUUGAGUGCAGAAGAGGAAAGUGGAAUUCCAUGUGUAGCGGUGAAAUGCGUAGAGAUAUGGAGGAACACCAGUGGCGAAGGCGACUUUCUGGUCUGUAACUGACACUGAGGCGCGAAAGCUGACCCCC